GCUCCCUGAUGUUAGCGGCGGACGGGUGAGUAACACGUGGGUAACCUGCCUGUAAGACUGGGAUAACUCCGGGAAACCGGGGCUAAUACCGGAUGCUUGUUUGAACCGCAUGGUUCAAACAUAAAAGGUGGCUUCGGCUACCACUUACAGAUGGACCCGCGGCGCAUUAGCUAGUUGGUGAGGUAAUGGCUCACCAAGGCGACGAUGCGUAGCCGACCUGAGAGGGUGAUCGGCCACACUGGGACUGAGACACGGCCCAGACUCCUACGGGAGGCAGCAGUAGGGAAUCUUCCGCAAUGGACGAAAGUCUGACGGAGCAACGCCGCGUGAGUGAUGAAGGUUUUCGGAUCGUAAAGCUCUGUUGUUAGGGAAGAACAAGUACCGUUCGAAUAGGGCGGUACCUUGACGGUACCUAACCAGAAAGCCACGGCUAACUACGUGCCAGCAGCCGCGGUAAUACGUAGGUGGCAAGCGUUGUCCGGAAUUAUUGGGCGUAAAGGGCUCGCAGGCGGUUUCUUAAGUCUGAUGUGAAAGCCCCCGGCUCAACCGGGGAGGGUCAUUGGAAACUGGGGAACUUGAGUGCAGAAGAGGAGAGUGGAAUUCCACGUGUAGCGGUGAAAUGCGUAGAGAUGUGGAGGAACACCAGUGGCGAAGGCGACUCUCUGGUCUGUAACUGACGCUGAGGAGCGAAAGCGUGGGGAGCGAACAGGAUUAGAUACCCUGGUAGUCCACGCCGUAAACGAUGAGUGCUAAGUG
RNAcentral lists this ribosomal RNA (756 nucleotides) under Bacillus sonorensis. Its description in RNAcentral is "bacterial SSU rRNA". It matches the Rfam family "Bacterial small subunit ribosomal RNA", at positions 81 to 822 of the family's 1533-position model. The record is from RNAcentral. Lineage: Bacteria; Bacillati; Bacillota; Bacilli; Caryophanales; Bacillaceae.